AUUGAACGCUGGCGGAAUGCUUUACACAUGCAAGUCGAACGGCAGCACGGACUUCGGUCUGGUGGCGAGUGGCGAACGGGUGAGUAAUGUAUCGGAACGUGCCCAGUCGUGGGGGAUAACGUAGUGAAAAUUACGCUAAUACCGCAUACGAUCUACGGAUGAAAGCGGGGGAUCGCAAGACCUCGCGCGAUUGGAGCGGCCGAUAUCAGAUUAGGUAGUUGGUGGGGUAAAGGCUCACCAAGCCAACGAUCUGUAGCUGGUCUGAGAGGACGACCAGCCACACUGGAACUGAGACACGGUCCAGACUCCUACGGGAGGCAGCAGUGGGGAAUUUUGGACAAUGGACGAAAGUCUGAUGCAGCAACGCCGCGUGGAGGAUGACACAUUUCGGUGCGUAAACUCCUUUUAUAUAGAAGAUAAUGACGGUACUAUAUGAAUAAGCACCGGCUAACUCCGUG
This 458-nucleotide ribosomal RNA is filed under the name uncultured bacterium. Its description in RNAcentral is "bacterial SSU rRNA". It matches the Rfam family "Bacterial small subunit ribosomal RNA", at positions 30 to 507 of the family's 1533-position model. The record is from RNAcentral.